RNAcentral lists this long non-coding RNA (1261 nucleotides) under Lupinus angustifolius (narrow-leaved blue lupine). RNAcentral's name for it is "long non-coding RNA (LANG_LNC003725)". Lineage: Eukaryota; Viridiplantae; Streptophyta; Magnoliopsida; Fabales; Fabaceae. The record is from RNAcentral.
UUCCAUUGUCUUCCCUAAAAUUGGCGAGAUUGACUAUUUUACCACCUUCUUAGUUCUCAUUUUAUGUAGAAUAGAAUAAAGCCGAUUGAAAUCAGGAUUUAAGGGGCAUUUUUAUUACCAAAUGAGCUAGCAACUCAACUGCCAUUGUCCACAUUGUGUAAUAGCCAUAGGCAAAUUAUACGCAAGAGUUUCAGUCCUUCACUAGGCCACUUAUCCCCUUCCCCUACUGAAAUGGUGCCUUGGUGCUAUCACCUCCAAUAUACAAAAAGGAAAGGCGUCAUUUUGGUCAAAAGUUCAUGAUGUAACAGCUGAAGAAUGAAUGACUAACUAUGCCUCCAAGGUAACUAUGCCUCCAAGGUUCCCUUACAUAGUAACUCAAGUAAAUAGAAAUUUAAUGUGACUUGAGGCUACGAGACUAGCAAUUAUAUAAUAGAGGGAUAGUCAUUGAAUUGCUUGUUACCAAGUCAGUUGUUUUUCUUAAUAAAGAGUUGGACAAUUAACUGAAUUUAUAAAUAAAAAAGAACUUACCCUUCUCGAACCAAGCAAUAUAAAAAGGGAUACCAUAUCUUGUACUAAAAGCAAUAUACUUUCACUGCACUUCAGAUGCACCGGAUGCUCGAACUUCUGCACGUUUAAACCUAUAAGCCUCUGCCAAAACUUAUUUAAAAGAAUAGUUUUACAAUAGAAACUCCGUCCUGAUCAUUUGAACUGUGGGAUUUAUGCACUGCAAGGAAUAUCUGAUGUUUCAACAUCACACAUUUCUCCAUCAUAUGAAAGUGGAACCAAUAUUACAGUAUGAAACCCACAACCAUUACAAGAUUCAUGGGGUGAUGAAGACUCUUGGAACUUCCCCCUUUCUUCUAAUUGCUUGGCAUCAAUAUCAUUUAGUUGUGGUUCAUGCUGCCUUUUCAAUUCUCCAAUUCUUUUAUCAUAUUCAUUAUUGAAAACCUUGAGCUUUUCUGUUCUCAUCAUUGCAUGAAUAAGUUAGAUAAGCGGCCAACUCUACUCUGCGCCUUAUCUGUUGUCAACUUCCCCCUUUCUUCUAAUUGCUUGGCAUCAAUAUCAUUUAGUUGUGGUUCAUGCUGCCUUUUCAAUUCUCCAAUUCUUUUAUCAUAUUCAUUAUUGAAAACCUUGAGCUUUUCUGUUCUCAUCAUUGCAUGAAUAAGUUAGAUAAGCGGCCAACUCUACUCUGCGCCUUAUCUGUUGUCAACUUCUUCGCUUCCUCCUGUUGGAACUGAGGAAACAAAUCUGGAAAUUUGAU